UGAGGAAUAUUGGUCAAUGGGCGAGAGCCUGAACCAGCCAAGUCGCGUGAAGGAAGACUGCCUUAUGGGUUGUAAACUUCUUUUAUACAGGAAUAAAAAGGCUUACGUGUAGGCCAUUGCAAGUACUGUAUGAAUAAGCAUCGGCUAACUCCGUGCCAGCAGCCGCGGUAAUACGGAGGAUGCGAGCGUUAUCCGGAUUUAUUGGGUUUAAAGGGUGCGCAGGCGGGCUUUUAAGUCAGCGGUGAAAUCUGGACGCUUAACGUCCAAACUGCCGUUGAAACUGGGAGUCUUGAGUAUGGAUGAAGUAGGCGGAAUUCGUUGUGUAGCGGUGACAUGCAUAGAUAUAACGAGGAACUCCGAUUGCGUAGGCAGCUUACUAAGCCAUAACUGACGCUCAUGCACGAAAGCGUGGGGAUCAAACAGGAUUAGAUACCCUGGUAGUCCACGCCGUAAAACGAUGAUUACUAGUUGUAUGCGAUAUGAUAGUAUGUGACUAAGCGAAAGCGAUAAGUAAUCCACCUGGGGAGUACGCCGCAACGGUGAAACUCAAAGGAAUUGACGGGGGUCAUAGCUGUUUUCCUG
RNAcentral lists this ribosomal RNA (582 nucleotides) under uncultured bacterium. RNAcentral's name for it is "partial 16S ribosomal RNA". It matches the Rfam family "Bacterial small subunit ribosomal RNA", at positions 355 to 1363 of the family's 1533-position model. The record is from RNAcentral.